AAAAAAAAAAAAAAAAAGGGAGAUGAAACUCCGCCCAGAGCUACGACAAGGCCACCUGCGGCCCAGGGACAAGGAGCACCGGGAAGGCCUAGGAGAAGGGGUUGCAGUGCCCGGACCCCCGCAGGCGCAGCAUCAUCCCUUUGAGUCCUCAGAAAUGUGCAGUUUCCAGAAUGCUGAGCCUGGGCGAGGCACCACCCGGGAAUAUCGGCCGGGGGAGAGAGGGCCCUGAGGGUGGCCCCUUCCGCUACUAACACACUAUGCUUCUUGGCACAAGUGUCAUCCCCUCUCUGGUCCCCAGGUGCCCCGUCUGCAGAGGCUGGCGCACACCUGACGGGGCUGGUGGGGCCCCCAACACGCCACCCCUCCCCACGCCUGAGCUGACUGCGGGCCGUGAGCCCGGCGCCAUCCUCCAGGCCUUCCCUUAGCCUCUCAACAAGGCCUUGAUGCAAUCAGCAGCAGCACCCCAUUUGCUAGGAGAGCACCCCGAGGCUCCGGCGUGAGAAGGGCCCCUCCCAGGGGUCCAGGAAGAGGCGCAGACAAGGCCCCUGGAGCGCAGCUCGUCCAGCACUGGCCGUGGCUCCAGGCUUCCACCUGCACGCCCCCCCCCCCCCCCGCGCAGCCGCAGCUCCAUCCGUGGCCAAGCCCUCCUCCUUCUAGACUUCACCCCUGCCCAGGUGCCCCUGUCCCGCCUGUGCUCCUGGCACGGCCCUGACCAGAGCACACAGCAUCAUCGGCUCGUGCUCCUCCUCUCAGCAGCUCCUUGAGCGGCGGGAGCUGUCUCCCUCUCCUUUCUAGGCCCCAGCCUGGGACACGGACCGACUGGCCUGGGAGCCGGCAGGGGUGCGUGAGAACCGGGGGGACAACUGCAGGACCGUCACCGUCCCCUCCGCCGCCCCACCGAGCUUCAGGUGCCCCAGCGUGGACAGAGCCGCUCCCAUCCGCCUCACAGGCCCGCCGGGGUUUCCAGAACAGCGCCCAAUAAAACGCACCCAGAGGGGCCGGCACAUGGCAAUUCUGGACAAGCCACCGACACGGUGACCAGAUUCCUGGCCAGCGCUUUGGCUUUCGCACGUCAAGGCCCAGAGCACCCCGACCAGUUCUGUCCCCUGACCACAAGCCUGCCGUCGCGGCCUUUGGGUGGCCGAGGCCCCCGGACCAAGAGCACCGCAAGUGCAGCACAAGGGGAGGGUCCGGAACUGAACCCAGAUGCGGCCCUGAGUGAAGACCAAGCCGGUGACACUGGGAGAUGCCACCCACCUAAAAUCCCACCGUUCACAGCUCAUGCAUUGCUCUUCUCAACCGCCCACCGCCACCCGCUGGAUGCACCCGUCUUCCUUCUGCCUCUGCGUCCCCACAGUGACCAGGGCAGGAUCGCUGAGCCCUAAGUUAGACGAGGUCCCUUCCUUGCUCAAAACCAUCCAUCAGGGCAGCCCGGGUGGCUCAGAGGGUUAGCGCCGCCUUCAGCCCAGGGCCAGAUCCUGGAGACCCGGGAUUGAAUCCUGCGUCGGGCUCCCUGCGUGGAGCCUGCUUCUCCCUCGGCCUGUGUCUCUGCCUCUCUCUCUCUAUGUCUCUCAUGAAUAAAUGAAUAAAAU
Molecule: long non-coding RNA, 1592 nt
Filed under: Canis lupus familiaris (dog)
Lineage: Eukaryota; Metazoa; Chordata; Mammalia; Carnivora; Canidae
Description: lncRNA (ENSCAFG00845021114.1)
Source: RNAcentral